CUUGCCACAAGCCAUAGAAUUUCAGAGGACUCAUUCCGGAACCUUGGGAAGACUUAAAACUGGACUUCCUGAGACUGUUGGAAUCCAUUGUUCCUAUCUUUCCAGGGGAGCAGAGCGGUAACUUCCUGUUGGCAGUUCUAUCUAAGCCUAAGAGAAGAUGACUUAGCUGUUCCCUGAGAGCUGGAGGUUCCUGCUUUCCAGCUAUCCAGAGAUCCAGAGAUUCGGUCCAUCCCUGACUCUACCUAUUUUCCUAUAAGAUCAGUCCAUUCUUCAGUAAUGCCUGGUUUGAAAAUAUGAAUUUAUUCCAACUCAAUUUGUAUAUUGGGGAACAUUUUGACCAUAAUUCAAAUUUGCCUCUGCAUGAUAUCAUCUGCAAGAAACAACCAGAGAACUCAGGAAACUUCACCACUUCAAAGUAACUCAGAAACUGCAACUGUGAUGGCACAACUCACUCCCACAAGCCAACUUCAGGUCUUUGUCAAGAUAUAUUCCUCCCUUCUGGCACUCUGUGGUUCGGCCAUACCAAGAUAUUCCAUCUCUGUCCCCAUUGCUGGAUUGCAUUCACAUCUACCCCCAACCUCUUGGAAUCUCUUAUUAUUGCCUUCAAAACUUGAAAACCCUCCUGAUCUCCCCAGCCGAUAGUGUCUUUCCCUGCCAAAAAUAAAAUUGCCCUGUAUUUAUUUCA
This 685-nucleotide long non-coding RNA is filed under the name Monodelphis domestica (gray short-tailed opossum). RNAcentral describes it as "lncRNA (ENSMODG00000032331.2)". Lineage: Eukaryota; Metazoa; Chordata; Mammalia; Didelphimorphia; Didelphidae. The record is from RNAcentral.